CUUACAUUCAUAACAAAUAAGAGGCUGCUCCUUAUCCUUCUCUUUGCUAUAUUCUCCUUUUGUAGGUGGCCUCUUCCUCAUCCUUUGUCUUCUUUUCUUCAAGAAUCUUUUAAACUUUCUAGUGAUGAGGGCCAUUUCUUCAUCUUGCUCUUCAUUUUCAGUUUCUUCGAAUUCCUCAUCGAGUUGAGUAGUAGACUUGAGGGCGAUUGUCCUCUUCUUCUUGACAUCUUCUUCUUGAUGUUAUUUCAUGCUUAGCUCGUGUGUCAUUAGCGAUCCUAGAAGCUCCUCCAAGAGUAAAAUAUUCAGAUCUUUGGCUUCUUAAAUUGCGGUCACUUUGGCCUCCCACGUCCUUGGUAAAGACCUAAGAAUCUUUCUCACAAGAUCGCUGUUAGAGUAAGACUUU
RNAcentral lists this long non-coding RNA (403 nucleotides) under Elaeis guineensis (African oil palm). Its description in RNAcentral is "long non-coding RNA (EGUI_LNC012332)". The record is from RNAcentral. Lineage: Eukaryota; Viridiplantae; Streptophyta; Magnoliopsida; Arecales; Arecaceae.